This 1536-nucleotide ribosomal RNA is filed under the name Listeria monocytogenes. RNAcentral describes it as "partial 23S ribosomal RNA". It matches the Rfam family "Bacterial large subunit ribosomal RNA", at positions 1 to 1529 of the family's 2925-position model. Lineage: Bacteria; Bacillati; Bacillota; Bacilli; Caryophanales; Listeriaceae. The record is from RNAcentral.
UUGGUUAAGUUAGAAAGGGCGCACGGUGGAUGCCUUGGCACUAGGAGCCGAAGAAGGACGGGACUAACACCGAUAUGCUUUGGGGAGCUGUACGUAAGCGUUGAUCCAGAGAUUUCCGAAUGGGGGAACCCACUAUCUUUAGUCGGAUAGUAUCCUUACGUGAAUACAUAGCGUGAGGAAGGCAGACCCAGGGAACUGAAACAUCUAAGUACCUGGAGGAAGAGAAAGAAAAAUCGAUUUCCUGAGUAGCGGCGAGCGAAACGGAAAGAGCCCAAACCAAGAAGCUUGCUUCUUGGGGUUGUAGGACACUCUAUACGGAGUUACAAAAGAAAGUUAUAAAUGAAGCGGUCUGGAAAGGCCCGCCAAAGACGGUAACAGCCCGGUAGUUGAAAUGGCUUUCUCUCCAGAGUGGAUCCUGAGUACGGCGGAACACGUGAAAUUCCGUCGGAAUCCGGGAGGACCAUCUCCCAAGGCUAAAUACUCCCUAGUGACCGAUAGUGAACCAGUACCGUGAGGGAAAGGUGAAAAGCACCCCGGAAGGGGAGUGAAACAGUUCCUGAAACCGUGUGCCUACAAGUAGUUAGAGCCCGUUAAUGGGUGAUAGCGUGCCUUUUGUAGAAUGAACCGGCGAGUUACGAUUUGUUGCAAGGUUAAGCGGAAAAAGCGGAGCCGUAGCGAAAGCGAGUCUGAAUAGGGCGCAUAAGUAACAGGUCGUAGACCCGAAACCAGGUGAUCUACCCAUGUCCAGGAUGAAGGUAAGGUAAUACUUACUGGAGGUCCGAACCCACGCACGUUGAAAAGUGCGGGGAUGAGGUGUGGGUAGCGGAGAAAUUCCAAUCGAACUUGGAGAUAGCUGGUUCUCUCCGAAAUAGCUUUAGGGCUAGCCUCGAGGUAAAGAGUCAUGGAGGUAGAGCACUGUUUGGACUAGGGGCCCUUCUCGGGUUACCGAAUUCAGAUAAACUCCGAAUGCCAUGUACUUAUACUCGGGAGUCAGACUGCGAGUGAUAAGAUCCGUAGUCGAAAGGGAAACAGCCCAGACCACCAGUUAAGGUCCCCAAAUAUAUGUUAAGUGGAAAAGGAUGUGGGGUUGCUUAGACAACCAGGAUGUUGGCUUAGAAGCAGCCACCAUUGAAAGAGUGCGUAAUAGCUCACUGGUCGAGUGACCCCGCGCCGAAAAUGUACCGGGGCUAAACAUAUUACCGAAACUGUGGAUGAACCUCUUUAGAGGUUCGUGGUAGGAGAGCGUUCUAAGGGCGGUGAAGUCAGACCGGAAGGACUGGUGGAGCGCUUAGAAGUGAGAAUGCCGGUAUGAGUAGCGAAAGAAGGGUGAGAAUCCCUUCCACCGAAUAUCUAAGGUUUCCUGAGGAAGGCUCGUCCGCUCAGGGUUAGUCGGGACCUAAGCCGAGGCCGAUAGGCGUAGGCGAUGGACAACAGGUAGAGAUUCCUGUACCAGUGCUAAUUGUUUAACCGAUGGGGUGACACAGAAGGAUAGGGAAUCGCACGAAUGGAAAUGUGCGUCCAAGCAGUGAGUGUGAG